Molecule: long non-coding RNA, 926 nt
Organism: Mus musculus (house mouse)
Lineage: Eukaryota; Metazoa; Chordata; Mammalia; Rodentia; Muridae
Product: predicted gene, 57720
Exons: 2
Source: RefSeq, a predicted model, not a curated record
UCCCCUUGCUGAUUUCAUUUGCAUCCUGAUUCGCUGUGCCCUUUUCUAGCCUGCAGAGCAAGGCUCCAUGAGGUCUGGUCCAUCACAGCGGCUCCCCUUGAAGAACAGAGGCUAGCCCAUGCGAGCUCCUCCCCGGGAUACUGCCGCAGAAAAACCAAUGAAGCCCCGAGGACUUCGAACUCUGGUCUGAGCCGAAGGACAGACCUCAGACAGCUCCCCGGAAGCCCUUGGUCUCUUUGGAGAGGUGUGCAAGCUGAACCCUGGCAGCAGUGACUGGGUUGGACUGAGUAUCCCACAAGGCAUCGCCAGGUCGCCUUCCCCAGAAAAGUAACCCCGGCUGGCUAGAAUCAUGCCUGCUGUUUCUGCACCACAGCACACAUAGCUUUAAAUAAAGGCAACCAGACCGGGAAGGAAGGAAGCCUCCCAGGCAGGGAGUGCCGACACCACAGCCAAACUCAGUAUGUGGCCUUUGGAUUCCAAGGUGCUCUGUGAUGGCCUGGCACAUCCGAUGGCACAACCAGAGGUUGGAGAACUCUGGAGGGAACCUUGCUCUCUCCUGGAUGCCUUGGACCCUCCCUUCACUCAGUGCUACCCGGGAGGGGCCUCCCCUGUGACACAGGUACAGCCUCCCCCCCCCACACCCUCCCAGAUGGCUUCACUUACAGUAGAAGAUGAAGACAAGGAAGAUGGCAAUGCCCUUCAUUCCCGAGGUGACCAGGAGGUCCACGGUUCGGGGAUUUCACCUUCAUUUGCCAGUUUGGCUCCUGUGUGGGGAGGAAGUAAGAGGCCAUGUGGGUACAAACCACUGUUGGGAUAAUUAUUCUAGGGGUUUGCCACACCCCCUUGUUGUCUUUAAAUAUCUGUUAAGGGUUUAUACCCUACUUAGACCAUAGAGUUCCCAAAUAAAAGACACAACAACCUUUAAA